GCUUGUGACUGUAGCAUCCAGAAUACGCCCGAUCUCAUCGGAUCUCAGGAGCUAAGCAGGGUUGGGCCUGAGUAGCGCCUGGGUGGGCAACCACCAUACACAUCAGGUUGUGACAUGCU
Molecule: ribosomal RNA, 119 nt
Filed under: Petromyzon marinus (sea lamprey)
Lineage: Eukaryota; Metazoa; Chordata; Hyperoartia; Petromyzontiformes; Petromyzontidae
Source: RNAcentral